This 115-nucleotide ribosomal RNA is filed under the name Nannospalax galili (Upper Galilee mountains blind mole rat). The record is from RNAcentral. Lineage: Eukaryota; Metazoa; Chordata; Mammalia; Rodentia; Spalacidae.
GUUUUUGGUCAUAUCACCCUGAAUGUGCCCAGUCUCAUCUGAUCUCAGAAGUUAAGCAGGGUCAGUGUGGUUAGUACCUGGAGGAGAAAAUUGGAAUGGGGAGAGGAUGAAAGAG